UGCAUCUGAAGCCUGACGAGGAUGAGAACCUCCGGGGGCAAGAGGUUCGACCCGAGCGAAGCGAGAGAACGUUGCGUCAGCAACGGCCCGCAGGGCGAGUCAUCCUCUAUCACCGGCAG
This 119-nucleotide small RNA is filed under the name Salmonella enterica. RNAcentral describes it as "RtT sRNA". It matches the Rfam family "RtT RNA". Rfam says of the family: This family represents a bacterial cis-regulatory element known as RtT RNA. The exact function of RtT is unknown although it is thought that it may be involved in changing the cellular response in relation to amino acid starvation. RNAcentral also lists the same sequence under 4 other names. The record is from RNAcentral. Lineage: Bacteria; Pseudomonadati; Pseudomonadota; Gammaproteobacteria; Enterobacterales; Enterobacteriaceae.